CAGUAGCCGCGGUAAUACGUAGGGUGCGAGCGUUAAUCGGAAUUACUGGGCGUAAAGCGUGCGCAGGCGGUUUUGUAAGACAGGCGUGAAAUCCCCGGGCUCAACCUGGGAAUGGCGCUUGUGACUGCAAAGCUAGAGUGCGGCAGAGGGGGAUGGAAUUCCGCGUGUAGCAGUGAAAUGCGUAGAUAUGCGGAGGAACACCGAUGGCGAAGGCAAUCCCCUGGGCCUGCACUGACGCUCAUGCACGAAAGCGUGGGGAGCAAACAGGAUUAGAUACCCCGGUAGUCCCUGUCUCUUAUAC
This 301-nucleotide ribosomal RNA is filed under the name uncultured bacterium. RNAcentral describes it as "partial 16S ribosomal RNA". It matches the Rfam family "Bacterial small subunit ribosomal RNA", at positions 509 to 807 of the family's 1533-position model. The record is from RNAcentral.